UGAAUGUCCUAGGGGGUAUUGCACUUACCGAAGACUAUCAAACUCCGAAUGCCGUAUUCUUUUGCUUGGGAGUCAGACUAUGGGUGAUAAGAUUCAUAGUCAAGAGGGCAACAGCCCAGAUCGUCAGCUAAGGUCCCUAAAUGUAAGUUAAGUGGUAAAGGAUGUGGAAUUGCACAGACAACCAGGAUGUUGGCUUAGAAGCAGCCACUCAUUUAAAGAGUGCGUAAUAGCUCACUGGUCGAGUGAUUCUGCGCCGAAAAUUUCCGGGGCUAAAACUUACUACCGAAGCUACGGCAUCAUUAUGAUGGGUAGGGGAGCUUUCUAUACGGGUUGAAGCAUGACCGUAAGGACAUGUGGACUGUAUAGAAGUGAGAAUGUUGGCAUGAGUAGCGAGAUGUGGGUGAGAAUCCCACAGGCCGUAAACCCAAGGUUUCCAGGGGAAGGUUCGUCCGCCCUGGGUUAGUCAGGACCUAAGCCGAGGCCGAAAGGCGUAGGUGAUGGACAACAGGUUGAUAUUCCUGUACCACCAAUAACCGUUUGAGAAAUGGGAUGACACAGUAGGAUAAGCUAACCGCACUGUUGGUUAUGUGCGGGCAAGUAUUGAGGCAGUUCCGAUAGGCAAAUCCGUCGGAAUAAUGCUGGGGUACGAUGCGGAGCGAAAUUAAGUAGCGAAGUAGCUGAUUUCACACUGUCGAGAAAAGUCUCUAUCGAGGUUAAAGGUGCCUGUACCGCAAACCGACACAGGUGGGUGAGGAGAGUAUCCUAAGGCCAGCGAGAGAACUGUUGUUAAGGAACUCGGCAAAAUGACCCCGUAACUUAGGGAGAAGGGGUGCCUUCGAAAGAAGGCCGCAGAGAAUAGGCCCAAGCGACUGUUUACCAAAAACAUAGGUUUCUGCUAAGUCGCAAGACGAUGUAUAGGAGCUGACGCCUGCCCGGUGCUGGAAGGUUAAGGGGAUCUGUUAGAGCAAUCGAAGCAGUGAACUUAAGCCCCAGUAAACGGCGGCCGUAACUAUAACGGUCCUAAGGUAGCGAAAUUCCUUGUCGGGUAAGUUCCGACCCGCACGAAAGGCGUAACGAUUUGGGCACUGUCUCAACAACAGACUCGGUGAAAUUGUAAUACCGGUGAAGAUGCCGGUUACCUGCGACAGGACGGAAAGACCCCAUGGAGCUUUACUGUAGCUUGACAUUGAGUCUCGGUGCUACAUGUACAGGAUAGGUGGGAGACUAUGAAGCAUGGACGUCAGUCUGUGUGGAGUCAUCCUUGGGAUACCACCCUUGUAGUACUGGGAUUCUAACCAGAGGCCAUGAAUCUGGUCUUGGGACACUGUCAGGUGGACAGUUUGACUGGGGCGGUCGCCUCCCAAAAAGUAACGGAGGCGCUCAAAGGUUCUCUCAGUACGGUCGGAAAUCGUACGAAGAGUGUAAAGGCAAAAGAGAGCUUGAUUGCAAGACAUACAGGUCGAGCAAGGACGAAAGUCGGACUUAGUGAUCCGGUGGUUCCGCAUGGAAGGGCCAUCGCUCAACGGAUAAAAGCUACCCUGGGGAUAACAGGCUGAUCUCCCCCAAGAGUCCACAUCGACGGGGAGGUUUGGCACCUCGAUGUCGGCUCAUCACAUCCUGGGGCUGUAUUCGGUCCCAAGGGUUCGGCUGUUCGCCGAUUAAAGUGGUACGCGAGCUGGGUUCAGAACGUCGUGAGACAGUUCGGUCCCUAUCCGUCGCAGGCGUAGGAAAUUUGAGGAGACCUGUCCUUAGUACGAGAGGACCGGGAUGGACGUACCGCUGGUGUACCAGUUGUUCUGCCAAGGGCAUGGCUGGGUAGCUAAGUACGGAAAGGAUAAGCGCUGAAAGCAUCUAAGCGCGAAGCCCACUUCAAGAUAAGAUUUCCCACCGCAAGGUUAAGAUCCCAGGAAGACUACCUGGUUGA
RNAcentral lists this ribosomal RNA (1924 nucleotides) under human gut metagenome. RNAcentral describes it as "bacterial LSU rRNA". It matches the Rfam family "Bacterial large subunit ribosomal RNA", at positions 911 to 2856 of the family's 2925-position model. The record is from RNAcentral.